GCCUGUUUAUUAAAAACAUUGUUUUUAAAAUUAAUUAAAAAUAUAACCUGCCCAAUGAUUUAUUUUUAAAAGGCCGCAGUAUUUUGACUGUGCUAAGGUAGCAUAAUCAUUAGAUUUUUAAUUGAAAUCUUGAAUGAAUGGUUAAAUGAAAUAAAUUCUUUUUUAUUUUUAUAAUUUGAAUUUUAUAUAUUAGUUAAAAAGCUAAUAAAAAAAAAUGGGACGAGAAGACCCUAUAGAAUUUAUAUAAUUAUAUAAUUAAUUAUAAAUUAUUUUUUUUGUUUAAUUAGUUAAAAUUAUUUUAUUGGGGAGAUAUUUAAAUUUAAAUAACUUUAUUAAUUUAAAUCAUUAAUUUAUGUAGUAAUUGAUCUUUUAUUAUAGAUUAAAAAAUUAAAUUACCUUAGGGAUAACAGCAUAAUGAUUUUAAAAAGUUCUUAUUUUUAAAAUAGUUUAUGACCUCGAUGUUGGAUUAAAAUUAUUUUUAUAUGAAGAAAUAUAAUUAAUAAG
RNAcentral lists this ribosomal RNA (504 nucleotides) under Caryomyia aggregata. RNAcentral's name for it is "partial large subunit ribosomal RNA". The record is from RNAcentral. Lineage: Eukaryota; Metazoa; Arthropoda; Insecta; Diptera; Cecidomyiidae.